GUAGGUGGCAAGCGUUGUCCGGAAUUAUUGGGCGUAAAGCGCGCGCAGGCGGUUCUUUAAGUCUGAUGUGAAAGCCCACGGCUCAACCGUGGAGGGUCAUUGGAAACUGGAGAACUUGAGUACAGAAGAGGAAAGCGGAAUUCCACGUGUAGCGGUGAAAUGCGUAGAGAUGUGGAGGAACACCAGUAGCGAAGGCGGCUUUUCUGGUCUGUAACUGACGCUGAGGCGCGAAAGCGUGGGGAGCAAACAGGGAUUAGAUACCCUGGUAGUCCACGCCGUAAACGAUGAGUGCUAAGUGUUAGGGGGGUUUCCGCCCCCUUAGUGCUGCAGCUAACGCAUUAAGCACUCCGCCUGGGGAUACGGCCGCAAGGCUG
Molecule: ribosomal RNA, 374 nt
Filed under: uncultured organism
Description: partial 16S ribosomal RNA
Rfam family: Bacterial small subunit ribosomal RNA
Source: RNAcentral